UGUAAGCGUAUACCAAAGUUGUUGCAGUUAAAACGCUCGUAGUCGGAAUUUGGCAGUUCCGGAUGUGUGCACGUCGUGUGCGCACUUCGCGGGGAUUGCUUUUGUGGUCUUGCGUAGGAUGAGGCACUUUUAUUAGUGAACGUCCUCACGCAACCACUUUUUACUGUGAGAAAAUCAGAGUGCUCGAAGCAGGCAUUUGCCGUGAAUGUAUUAGCAUGGAAUAAUAGAAUAGGACUUGGUUCUAUUUUGUUGGUUUGUUGGGACUGAGUAAUGAUUAAGAGGGACAGUUGGGGGCAUUUGUAUUUCGGCGCUAGAGGUGAAAUUCUUAGAUUGCCGAAAGACAAACUGCUGCGAAAGCGUCUGCCAAGGAUGUUUUCAUUGA
This 382-nucleotide ribosomal RNA is filed under the name uncultured eukaryote. RNAcentral's name for it is "partial 18S ribosomal RNA". It matches the Rfam family "Eukaryotic small subunit ribosomal RNA", at positions 592 to 976 of the family's 1831-position model. The record is from RNAcentral.